Molecule: small RNA, 562 nt
Filed under: Histoplasma capsulatum var. duboisii H88
Lineage: Eukaryota; Fungi; Ascomycota; Eurotiomycetes; Onygenales; Ajellomycetaceae
Description: Histoplasma capsulatum H88 hypothetical RNA
Source: RNAcentral
AGGCGCUGUAUAGAGAUGUCUGUGAUAGCCUUCGAAGCUAGAUCAGAAUUCAAGUAUUGAAUGCUCUACUGAACAAGUUCAACACUCAGCUGAGGCGUUAGAAGGUUAUGAAGGUGGUUGACAUCAGCAGUUUCAACUCUCUCAAUCUUACACCUUACUCAAGCGUUGCGAGUGUGAUCCGAGAUAGACUGGCUUCGUUCGAGUAGAAAUCUUCCGAAUCAUCUGCUGAUCAAAGAUGUAAUGUUUUCUCCAGACACUGAAUCCCACAGGGAAGCCUUAAGUGAUAAUGUAGUGAGUGACUAACCAACCACGAGCAAGCAAGGUUAACUGCUUGACCAAAAAACCAUACACAAUAAAUAGUUACGAUCAUUUAUUAUUCAUUGGCCUUCGGCCCUACCUCUCUCUCUCUUUUUUGCCCUUUCUUACUAUAUAAGUUAUAAUAUAGUAUUCAUAUUCACUACUUUAAUACCAGACCAUAGUUGAAGGGAAGGUAGACCCUGGACUGGAUUGUGUAGGCAAUAUCAAUAGCGCUCCUAGAAGUCAAAGACAAAAUGCAAACAGA